Long non-coding RNA from Carassius carassius (crucian carp), 2440 nucleotides. RefSeq lists it as uncharacterized. The transcript is spliced from 2 exons. Lineage: Eukaryota; Metazoa; Chordata; Actinopteri; Cypriniformes; Cyprinidae. The record is from RefSeq and is a predicted model, not a curated record.
CAUCAAAUACAACGUAUAAUCAUCACUUCUCUACAGGUACUGUUUACUAACAAGGUGACAGCACCAACUAAUGGACUGGCAUACAUAAUACAGCGGGUUUUUUUUACAUUUUCGCAGAUAUGUGUAAACGUGAAUCAUUUUGAAAACGUUGUCAUGUAUAUGUGAAACUUUUUAAAAAUGCAAGGGAAAAACUUCUCGGUUUUUGACUACAACGUUGCUGUGUAAACAUAGCCUCAGUCCAGCAGUGAAAUGUGGUGUAUCAGCUUUCUUAUUUUGGAUAAACAAUCGGUUCCUUAAUUUGGAGCACUCGUUGAAGGAUGUAGAGUUUGACCAUGAAGUAUUUAUCAGCAUUCAGUCAGCUUUUUCCACCAUGAAUGAUUAGCAUUAGCAUCAGAUUUGGUUGCAAUGAUGUUUAAUUAAUCCCGCCAAAUGCUCUCAAACUAAAAUAAAGGGCCUUUAUUUGAGUUCAGAUGGAGAAAAGUGGAUUUCCUCACAGUCUAGUUUCCACUGGUCUGCCCCUGGUUCCUUCCCUCACAUUUUAAACAGGGUAAAGUUACUGUUUUUAUAAUUCACUCGCAUCUCUCUCUCAGAUAUGGCAGUGCUGAUGUACUUGUAGGUUUAGUAGUUUGUAGUAUUCUGGACAUUGUAGGUCCUUUUAGACGUUUUUUUAUGUUUUGUUUUUAUGAGUCUGGGUAGGGGGAAGUGUUGUUUUGAAGACUAUUUGGUUUUGAGUAUUACUGUAAACCCUAUUAGAGAAAAAAAACAUGACUGAGAUGCUAGCUGGUCCAGUUUUAACGAGUCAUCCGACGCCUUUGAGGUUUUGGUUACGAUUAAUUUCCUCGGUUGGUUUUUACCCAGGCAUCAGUGGAUGUGCUCGCUGUAACUUUCAUCAUUUCAGACAUUCCAAACACGUUCGAUAUGUGUCGUAAUGUUUACAUAUUUGCACCAGACAAUGACAAAGAGGCCUGUACCAAAGGCGCGUGUUCAGCCUGGUAACGGCCCGUCUCAAGUGCAGCUAAACCUCGGUGGCAACAUUUGGCGUUGUGUUGUUUGGUGGACACUUCACAUCUGUCUGUACGCCGCUUAAUCUUAAACAUUUUAUCCAUCCCACACCGCAUUCAUUUGUGUCCCUUCAUUUCUCGUUGUUUCAUUUUGUACUUCGUUUAUGGUGGUAGAUAUCGUGACUUUUCUUUUCUCGCGAGGGCUUGUUUUGGAGUGUAAGCUAGCUAAAUGUCAGACUAAACUCUUGAUAUGGUGGAGGUCUUAGUCUGCGAUAUUGCCACAUCAGAAUAAACUUGAAGGUGGAGAUUUAUCGCAAACCAAGCUGCUAUAAACACCAGCCCUUCUGAAUUGAGUUUCUCAGACCAGCAUCUCUGGAAGAAACUCAGGAAUAUCCCUCUAUUUUGAACAGUUUUGUUAAUCUGGCUUUCUGGGGAAGCUUUUUGAUUUCUUUAAAAGAGCCACACUCCUCAUCUAGGUCUUUUUGUUUUCUGUCGUUCCUUCAUAUUUUACAGUGUGUCCUCGUUUGAUUUUUUUUUAUGCAUUUUUCAUUGAAACUACCUCUUUUGUGUGUCAUCAUGUAGCGUGCUUUCAUUAAGGAAAAGUAUUAAUCGUUAUUUAUUGGUUUCAAAGCACCAGUGACCCUGUUUCUUUGUCCGUUUCAUAAACCAUUCUGGAAACUUCAGAGUUAAUAGUUUUCAUCAUUCGUAUUCCAUCAUUGUCUUAAAAUAUGUGCUCAAAUCAUGCCUGAUAGACAUUAGAUGCUGCAUAUUUACCUCACUCUUCAAUGAAGACCAUUUCUCAGUGCAAUUAUAACGUGUGAAAUGAACAGUAUUAUAUUCCUAGUUGUAAACACUGUUUGUGAAUUGUUUUCAUGAAGAAUGUAUUUUUUGCCUAUAUCAUUUUUGUUUUUAUUUCUCAACUGUAAUCAUGUUAAUGCUUUGACACUUUUCAGCCAAUCAGAUUUCUUUCUUGAUUGUUACGGGUAUGCUGAUUGGCUAUUGAAAGACUAUCAAAGUGCUGUCAGUUUUACAUAGCCAGGGAACUUAUUUCAGUCUCUUUGGGAUUCUUCUUGAUCCAGUGGGAAUCUUAUUAGAUGAAACAUUGGUGAAUGUUGGGGCUUGAGCAAACCAUACAGAGCCAGACGAGAGGUUUUGAAACAUGGGUGAUAUCUCAGGGAAUAGACACGCUCCUGAAAACCUCAAAACAACUCUAGUACACGCUAAAUGAACUCCUGUUUGUUUGUAUUUGUCUUUGUAUUGGCAUCUGACGUGUUGUUUUUGGGAGUGUUGUCUGAGGUGCUUUUCCUAACCCGUGUCACAAACCUCUUCUUCUGCUCCUCUGACUUUUACUACCUGUGAAGAAUGUGAUCGAUAGAAGCAUGUUUAGAAUGUUUUAGGACUUGAAACCAAAUAAAUGUGAAUCUUAUGCAACUGUGAAA